This 84-nucleotide small RNA is filed under the name Halpernia frigidisoli. RNAcentral's name for it is "Flavo-1 RNA". It matches the Rfam family "Flavo-1 RNA". The record is from Rfam by way of RNAcentral. Lineage: Bacteria; Pseudomonadati; Bacteroidota; Flavobacteriia; Flavobacteriales; Weeksellaceae.
AAAUAGACCCGAUAGGAACGGCAUCCUUUUUUGACUGCGCGAAAGCGACAGGCGAAAAAGAUAUAGUGGAUAGCGGGAAGACUU